Molecule: ribosomal RNA, 301 nt
Filed under: uncultured bacterium
Lineage: Bacteria
Description: partial 16S ribosomal RNA
Rfam family: Bacterial small subunit ribosomal RNA
Source: RNAcentral
CAGCCGCCGCGGUAAUACGAAGGGUGCUAGCGUUGUUCGGAAUCACUGGGCGUAAAGCGCGCGUAGGCGGCGUAGCAAGUCAGAGGUGAAAGCCCGGGGCUCAACCCCGGAAUUGCCUUUGAAACUGCUAUGCUAGAGUGUCGGAGGGGAUAGCGGAAUUGCUAAUGUAGAGGUGAAAUUCGUAGAUAUUAGGAAGAACACCAGUGGCGAAGGCGGCUCACUGGUCCGGUACUGACGCUGAGGUGCGAAAGCGUGGGGAGCAAACAGGAUUAGAUACCCCGGUAGUCCCUGUCUCUUAUAC